GUGCCUGAAGCCUGGCUUUGCCGAACACCCUGCUGCCUGCCACUCUCUAACUUGUAAACAACUGGGCUAGAAAUAUGCUGCUCAACUGGGGUUCAUAACGGUGGAGAAUUUCUGUAUCUAUUGCAGACCAGACCAUAGAAUCUUCCAGGUGCAACGAGAUCUAAAUUUCAAAGCAGGGCUGUGCAACCCUAUCUGAAUCCACUGGCAUUUCCGAAGGCAGCAUGGCAACAAGGGAGAGACGCAAGACGCAUUCCUAACCAGGACCAAGAUAGCUUUUUCCCAUAACUCUCGGGCAGUGGGAACAUAGCAGCUUUGCAGAGUGGUGCUGUGUCUAAAGUUAAAAUAACCGGAGGGACAGAGCAGGGCAUUUCAAUGGGAUUAUUGUAAUUGGUGCUUUUACUCCAAAUUAAG
Mauremys mutica (yellowpond turtle) is the source of this 411-nucleotide long non-coding RNA. RefSeq lists it as uncharacterized. The transcript has 3 exons. The record is from RefSeq and is a predicted model, not a curated record. Lineage: Eukaryota; Metazoa; Chordata; Testudines; Geoemydidae.